CCUACGGGUGGCUGCAGUCGAGAAUCAUUCACAAUGGGGGAAACUCUGAUGGUGCGACGCCGCGUGGGGGAAUGAAGGUCUUCGGAUUGUAAACCCCUGUCAUGUGGGAGCAAAUGAAAAAGAUAGUACCACAAGAGGAAGGGACGGCUAACUCUGUGCCAGCAGCCGCGGUAAUACAGAGGUCUCAAGCGUUGUUCGGAAUCACUGGGCGUAAAGCGUGCGUAGGCUGUUUCGUAAGUCGUGUGUGAAAGGGGCGGGCUCAACCCGCGGACGGCACAUGAGACUGGGAGACUAGAGUACUGGAGGGGGAAGCGGAAUUCCCGGUGUAGCAGUGAAAUGCGUAGAUAUCGAGAGGAACACUCGUGGCGAAGGCGGGUUCCUGGACAUUAACUGACGCUGAGGCACGAAGGCCAGGGGAGCGAAAGGGAUUAGAUACCCCAGUAGUC
Molecule: ribosomal RNA, 446 nt
Filed under: uncultured bacterium
Lineage: Bacteria
Description: partial 16S ribosomal RNA
Rfam family: Bacterial small subunit ribosomal RNA
Source: RNAcentral